RNAcentral lists this ribosomal RNA (115 nucleotides) under Neogale vison (American mink). The record is from RNAcentral. Lineage: Eukaryota; Metazoa; Chordata; Mammalia; Carnivora; Mustelidae.
GUCUACGGCCAUACCACCCUGAACGCGCCCGAUCUCGUCUGAUCUCGGAAGCUAAGCAGGGUCGGGCCUGGUUAGUACUUGGAUGGGAGAAGGCGGCCCAGGUAUGUCGCGCAUC